Molecule: ribosomal RNA, 407 nt
Filed under: Haliea sp.
Lineage: Bacteria; Pseudomonadati; Pseudomonadota; Gammaproteobacteria; Cellvibrionales; Halieaceae
Description: bacterial LSU rRNA
Rfam family: Bacterial large subunit ribosomal RNA
Source: RNAcentral
UCGGCUCAUCACAUCCUGGGGCUGAAGCCGGUCCCAAGGGUAUGGCUGUUCGCCAUUUAAAGUGGUACGCGAGCUGGGUUUAGAACGUCGUGAGACAGUUCGGUCCCUAUCUGCCGUGGGCGUUGGAGAAUUGAGGGAAGCUGCUCCUAGUACGAGAGGACCGGAGUGGACGAACCUCUGGUGUUCGGGUUGUCACGCCAGUGGCAUUGCCCGGUAGCUACGUUCGGACAGGAUAACCGCUGAAAGCAUCUAAGCGGGAAGCCCCUCCCAAGAUAAGUUCUCCCUGGGGACUUGAUCCCCCUGAAGGGCCGUUGAAGACUACAACGUUGAUAGGCUGGGUGUGGAAGCGCGGUAACGCGUUGAGCUAACCAGUACUAAUUGCCCGUGAGGCUUGACCAUAUAAUCCA